RNAcentral lists this ribosomal RNA (491 nucleotides) under uncultured bacterium. Its description in RNAcentral is "partial 16S ribosomal RNA". It matches the Rfam family "Bacterial small subunit ribosomal RNA", at positions 29 to 507 of the family's 1533-position model. The record is from RNAcentral.
GUGAACGCUGGCGGUAGGCCUAACACAUGCAAGUCGAACGGCAGCACAGUAAGAGCUUGCUCUUACGGGUGGCGAGUGGCGGACGGGUGAGGAAUACAUCGGAAUCUACUUUUUCGUGGGGGAUAACGUAGGGAAACUUACGCUAAUACCGCAUGCGACCUACGGGUGAAAGCAGGGGAUCUUCGGACCUUGCGCGAUUGAAUGAGCCGAUGUCGGAUUAGCUAGUUGGCGGGGUAAAGGCCCACCAAGGCGACGACCCGUAGCUGGUCUGAGAGGAUGAUCAGCCACACUGGAACUGAGACACGGUCCAGACUCCUACGGGAGGCAGCAGUGGGGAAUAUUGGACAAUGGGCGCAAGCCUGAUCCAGCCAUACCGCGUGGGUGAAGAAGGCCUUCGGGUUGUAAAGCCCUUUUGUUGGGAAAGAAAAGCAGCAGGUUAAUACCCCGCUGUUCUGACGGUACCCAAAGAAUAAGCACCGGCUAACUUCGUG